UACGGAGAGUGCAAGCGUUGUUCGGAAUUAUUGGGCGUAAAGCGCGUGUAGGCGGUCCAACAAGUCUGGCGUGAAAGCCUUGAGCUCAACUCAAGAAGUGCGCUGGAAACUGUCGGGCUUGAGUACCGGAGGGGAAGGUGGAAUUCUCGAGUGUAGAGGUGAAAUUCGUAGAUAUUCGGAAGAACAUCAGUGGCGAAGGCGACCUUCUGGACGGAUACUGACGCUGAGACGCGAAAGCGUGGGUAGCAAACAGG
Molecule: ribosomal RNA, 254 nt
Filed under: uncultured bacterium
Lineage: Bacteria
Description: partial 16S ribosomal RNA
Rfam family: Bacterial small subunit ribosomal RNA
Source: RNAcentral